RNAcentral lists this ribosomal RNA (441 nucleotides) under uncultured bacterium. RNAcentral describes it as "partial 16S ribosomal RNA". It matches the Rfam family "Bacterial small subunit ribosomal RNA", at positions 338 to 795 of the family's 1533-position model. The record is from RNAcentral.
CCUACGGGAGGCAGCAGUGGGGGAUAUUGCACAAUGGGGGAAACCCUGAUGCAGCGACGCCGCGUGUGGGAAGACGGUCCUCUGGAUUGUAAACCACUGUCCCCAGGGACGAAGAUGACGGUACCUGACUAAGAAGCCCCGGCUAACUACGUGCCAGCAGCCGCGGUAAUACGUAGGGGGCAAGCGUUAUCCGGCUUUACUGGGUGUAAAGGGAGCGUAGACGGCAGCGCAAGUCUGGAGUGAAAUGCCGGGGCCCAACCCCGGAACUGCUUUGGAAACUGUGCAGCUCGAGUGCAGGAGAGGUAAGCGGAAUUGCUAGUGUAGCGGUGAAAUGCGUAGAUAUUAGGAGGAACACCAGUGGCGAAGGCGGCUUACUGGACUGUAACUGACGUUGAGGCUCGAAAGCGUGGGGAGCAAACAGGAUUAGAUACCCCUGUAGUC